GUCCACGCCGUAAACGAUGGGCACUAGGUGCUCGGGGAGCGACCCCUCGGGUGCCGGCGCUAACGCAUUAAGUGCCCCGCCUGGGGAGUACGGCCGCAAGGCUGAAACUCAAAGGAAUUGACGGGGCCCGCACAAGCGGUGGAGCAUGUGGUUUAAUUCGACGCAACGCGAAGAACCUUACCUAGGCUUGACAUGUACGCGAAGAUCGUGAGAGAUCGCGGUCGCCCUUCGGGGCGCGUGCACAGGUGCUGCAUGGCUGUCGU
This 263-nucleotide ribosomal RNA is filed under the name uncultured bacterium. RNAcentral's name for it is "partial 16S ribosomal RNA". It matches the Rfam family "Bacterial small subunit ribosomal RNA", at positions 793 to 1055 of the family's 1533-position model. The record is from RNAcentral.